AGGCACAAAGUGGUGCACCAUAUAGAUAUGGUGAAGAAGAGGUCCAAAGUGGUAUGUUUGAUUAAAUUAGUGAAGAUGGAAAUUGUUUUGGUUCUACAAGUGGUAGUUCUGGAUUUGAUUCAAAGAUGUCUUUAGAUGGAGAGACUGAAGAUGAUAAAAUGGUUGGUGACUCCAUAGGUACACAAAAUAUUGUCCAGAUUUUAGAGCGUAUAACUGUGGGGCAAAUAUAUAGCACCAAGAAAGGAGUUACAACAUAAGUUGCGUACGAUCACGAUUUUUCAAAAUUUU
This 288-nucleotide long non-coding RNA is filed under the name Brassica napus (rape). RNAcentral describes it as "long non-coding RNA (BNAP_LNC024026)". The record is from RNAcentral. Lineage: Eukaryota; Viridiplantae; Streptophyta; Magnoliopsida; Brassicales; Brassicaceae.